CCGGUAAACGGCGGCCGUAACUAUAACGGUCCUAAGGUAGCGAAAUUCCUUGUCGGGUAAGUUCCGACCUGCACGAAUGGCGUAAUGAUGGCCAGGCUGUCUCCACCCGAGACUCAGUGAAAUUGAACUCGCUGUGAAGAUGCAGUGUACCCGCGGCAAGACGGAAAGACCCCGUGAACCUUUACUAUAGCUUGACACUGAACAUUGAGCCUUGAUGUGUAGGAUAGGUGGGAGGCUUUGAAGUGUGGACGCCAGUCUGCAUGGAGCCGACCUUGAAAUACCACCCUUUAAUGUUUGAUGUUCUAACGUUGGCCCCUGAUCGGGGUUGCGGACAGUGUCUGGUGGGUAGUUUGACUGGGGCGGUCUCCUCCUAAAGAGUAACGGAGGAGCACGAAGGUUGGCUAAUCCUGGUCGGACAUCAGGAGGUUAGUGCAAUGGCAUAAGCCAGCUUGACUGCGAGCGUGACGGCGCGAGCAGGUGCGAAAGCAGGUCAUAGUGAUCCGGUGGUUCUGAAUGGAAGGGCCAUCGCUCAACGGAUAAAAGGUACUCCGGGGAUAACAGGCUGAUACCGCCCAAGAGUUCAUAUCGACGGCGGUGUUUGGCACCUCGAUGUCGGCUCAUCACAUCCUGGGGCUGAAGUAGGUCCCAAGGGUAUGGCUGUUCGCCAUUUAAAGUGGUACGCGAGCUGGGUUUAGAACGUCGUGAGACAGUUCGGUCCCUAUCUGCCGUGGGCGCUGGAGAACUGAGGGGGGCUGCUCCUAGUACGAGAGGACCGGAGUGGACGCAUCACUGGUGUUCGGGUUGUCAUGCCAAUGGCACUGCCCGGUAGCUAAAUGCGGAAGAGAUAAGUGCUGAAAGCAUCUAAGCACGAAACUUGCCCCGAGAUGAGUUCUCCCUGACUCCUUGAGAGUCCUGAAGGAACGUUGAAGACGACGACGUUGAUAGGCCGGGUGUGUAAGCGCAGCGAUGCGUUGAGCUAACCGGUACUAA
Molecule: ribosomal RNA, 990 nt
Filed under: Escherichia coli
Lineage: Bacteria; Pseudomonadati; Pseudomonadota; Gammaproteobacteria; Enterobacterales; Enterobacteriaceae
Description: partial 23S ribosomal RNA
Rfam family: Bacterial large subunit ribosomal RNA
Source: RNAcentral